AAAAAGAGGAGUGGCGAACGGGUGAGUAACACGUGGGUAACCUGCCCAUCAGAAGGGGAUAACACUUGGAAACAGGUGCUAAUACCGUAUAACAAUCAAAACCGCAUGGUUUUGAUUUGAAAGGCGCUUUCGGGUGUCGCUGAUGGAUGGACCCGCGGUGCAUUAGCUAGUUGGUGAGGUAACGGCUCACCAAGGCCACGAUGCAUAGCCGACCUGAGAGGGUGAUCGGCCACAUUGGGACUGAGACACGGCCCAAACUCCUACGGGAGGCAGCAGUAGGGAAUCUUCGGCAAUGGACGAAAGUCUGACCGAGCAACGCCGCGUGAGUGAAGAAGGUUUUCGGAUCGUAAAACUCUGUUGUUAGAGAAGAACAAGGAUGAGAGUAACUGUUCAUCCCUUGACGGUAUCUAACCAGAAAGCCACGGCUAACUACGUGCCAGCAGCCGCGGUAAUACGUAGGUGGCAAGCGUUGUCCGGAUUUAUUGGGCGUAAAGCGAGCGCAGGCGGUUUCUUAAGUCUGAUGUGAAAGCCCCCGGCUCAACCGGGGAGGGUCAUUGGAAACUGGGAGACUUGAGUGCAGAAGAGGAGAGUGGAAUUCCAUGUGUAGCGGUGAAAUGCGUAGAUAUAUGGAGGAACACCAGUGGCGAAGGCGGCUCUCUGGUCUGUAACUGACGCUGAGGCUCGAAAGCGUGGGGAGCAAACAGG
RNAcentral lists this ribosomal RNA (705 nucleotides) under uncultured Bacilli bacterium. Its description in RNAcentral is "bacterial SSU rRNA". It matches the Rfam family "Bacterial small subunit ribosomal RNA", at positions 85 to 776 of the family's 1533-position model. Lineage: Bacteria; Bacillati; Bacillota; Bacilli. The record is from RNAcentral.